GGGGAAUCUUGCGCAAUGCGCGAAAGCGUGACGCAGCAACGCCGCGUGCGGGAAGACGGCCUUCGGGUUGUAAACCGCUUUCAGUUGGGACGAAGCUUCGCCGGUGAAUAGCCGGCCGGAGUGACGGUACCUUCAGAAGAAGCCCCGGCUAACUACGUGCCAGCAGCCGCGGUAAGACAGAGGGGGCAAGCGUUGUCCGGACUAACUGGGCGUAAAGCGCGCGCAGGCGGCGUCGGGCGUCGGUGCUGAAAGUCCACCGCUUAACGGUGGAUAGCGUGCCGAUACGCCGACGCUGAAGGGUGGGCGAGGGUGGUGGAAUUGCCGGUGUAGUGGUGAAAUGCGUAGAGAUCGGCAGGAACACCCGUGGCGGAAGCGGCCACCUAGCCCGCACCUGACGCUGAGGCGCGACAGCGUGGGGAGCGAAC
This 425-nucleotide ribosomal RNA is filed under the name uncultured bacterium. RNAcentral's name for it is "bacterial SSU rRNA". It matches the Rfam family "Bacterial small subunit ribosomal RNA", at positions 356 to 773 of the family's 1533-position model. The record is from RNAcentral.